GAUGAAGAACGUAGAGAAAUGCGAUAAGUAAUGUGAAUUGCAGAAUUCAGUGAAUCAUCGAAUCUUUGAACGCACAUUGCGCCCGGCAGUACUCUGCCGGGCAUGCCUGUUCGAGCGUCAUUUCAACCCUCAAGCCCUGCUUGGUGUUGGGGUCCCACGGCCGCCGUGGGCCCUGAAAGGAAGUGGCGGGCUCGCUACAACUCCGAGCGUAGUAAUUCAUUAUCUCGCUUAGGGCGUUGGGCGGCGCUCCUGCCGUUAAAGAACCAUCUUUAACUCAAGGUUGACCUCGGAUCAGGUAGGAAUACCCGCUGAACUUAAGCAUAUCAAUAAGCGGAGGA
RNAcentral lists this unclassified non-coding RNA (338 nucleotides) under soil metagenome. RNAcentral's name for it is "partial contains 5.8S ribosomal RNA, internal transcribed spacer 2, and large subunit ribosomal RNA". The stretch from base 1 to 120 matches the Rfam family "5.8S ribosomal RNA", at positions 35 to 154 of the family's 154-position model. The record is from RNAcentral.